Molecule: ribosomal RNA, 219 nt
Filed under: uncultured microorganism
Description: partial 16S ribosomal RNA
Rfam family: Bacterial small subunit ribosomal RNA
Source: RNAcentral
CCACAAUGGGGGGAAACCCUGAUGGAGCGACGCCGCGUGCGGGGAUGAAGGCCCUAUGGGUUGUAAACCGCUGUUCAGUGGAAAGAACAUCCUCCGGCUGAAUAGGUCGGAGGCCUGACGGUUACCACUGCAGAAAGUCCCGGCCAACUCCGUGCCAGCAGCCGGCGGUAAUACGGGGGGGGACGAGCGUUGUCCGGAAUCAUUGGGCGUAAAGGGCGC